This 253-nucleotide ribosomal RNA is filed under the name uncultured bacterium. RNAcentral's name for it is "partial 16S ribosomal RNA". It matches the Rfam family "Bacterial small subunit ribosomal RNA", at positions 524 to 776 of the family's 1533-position model. The record is from RNAcentral.
UACGGAGGGUGCAAGCGUUAUCCGGAUUCACUGGGUUUAAAGGAUGUGUAGGCGGAUAUUUAAGUCCGAGGUGAAAUCUCUGAGCUCAACUCAGAAACUGCCUUGGAUACUAUUUAUCUUGAAUAUCGUUGAGGUAGGCGGAAUAUGUCAUGUAGCGGUGAAAUGCUUAGAUAUGACAUAGAACACCGAUUGCGAAGGCAGCUUGCUAAACGAUUAUUGACGCUGAGGCACGAAAGCGUGGGGAUCAAACAGG